AGCAGCCGCGGUAAUUCCAGCUCCAAUAGCGUAUAUUAAAGUUGUUGCAGUUAAAAAGCUCGUAGUUGAAUUUCGGGGUCAGUAGGUCGGUCGUGCCACUGGUAUGAACUGGUUUUACUGAUUCCUCCCUCUUGAAGAACUGUAAUGCCAUUAAUUUGGUGUUGCAGGGAAUCAGGACUGUUACUUUGAAAAAAUUAGAGUGUUUAAAGCAGGCUUUAGCUUGAAUACAUUAGCAUGGAAUAAUGAAAUAGGACGUUUGAUCCUAUUUUGUUGGUUUCUAGGAUUGACGUAAUGAUUAAUAGGGAUAGUUGGGGGCAUUAGUAUUCAAUUGUCAGAGGUGAAAUUCUUGGAUUUAUUGAAGACUAACUACUGCGAAAGCAUUUGCCAAGGAUGUUUUCAUUAAUCAAGAACGAAGUUAGGGAUCGAAGACGAUCAGAUACCGUCGUAGUCUUAACCAUAAACUAUGACCGACUAGGGAUCGGAUGAUGUUAAUUUUUAUGUACUUCAUUCGGCGCCUUAC
Molecule: ribosomal RNA, 520 nt
Filed under: uncultured Glomus
Lineage: Eukaryota; Fungi; Glomeromycota; Glomeromycetes; Glomerales; Glomeraceae
Description: SSU rRNA
Rfam family: Eukaryotic small subunit ribosomal RNA
Source: RNAcentral